This 1263-nucleotide long non-coding RNA is filed under the name Phoenix dactylifera (date palm). RNAcentral describes it as "long non-coding RNA (PDAC_LNC006542)". Lineage: Eukaryota; Viridiplantae; Streptophyta; Magnoliopsida; Arecales; Arecaceae. The record is from RNAcentral.
UUGCCAUGCUUUAUCCAAAUGGUUGAGCAUUUAUCAUUGAAAAAUUAUGUGAGUUCCAAUCUAUAUCAAUAGAUAUUUCCUAAUAUUUUUUUCCAAGUACAAAUUGGGUUAUAAAGCUUCUAUUGCCAGUAGCAUUAGAUUUUUCAAAACAGCUCGGUUUGCUUACUUUCUUUUUGGAUCACAAAAAAUAAUUUUGUGUGGAUUUAUAACUCCUAAUUGAUAGCUAACAUUAAAUAUUGUGGGUAAUAAACAAAGAACUUCUGAAACAUGAUGUAGUGCUUGUUAGACAAAUGAGGAAAUAUAGGUCAUUUUAAGGACUAACAAGUCAUAUAAAUAAAAUUUUACUGAUUAAUAUAGAAAUUUUAAGAAAUUAAGCAAAUAAAAAAUAUGUAGCAACUAAUAUUUAAAAAUUUCUAAUUAAAAAAUGUCCACUGCUUAUAGUUGUACAUACAAAAGAAUGCAAGAGAAUAAAAAAGAGGAGAUUUUGGACACUCAUUUGCUGCCAAGGAAAUAAUUUCUUUCUAUAGUUACAGUGUGUGUUUGACAAGAGACUGUGGUCUAACCUUAAGUAUAAUCUGGAAGAAAAUUCUUUCUCCCUUAACUUGAUAGAUAAAUGAGGCCAUAUAGGUCAUUUUAUCACUAGGUAGAGGCAGGCAAGUCUAAGGGCUGAUAAGUCUAAUAAAUAAAAUUUUAUUGCUUAACAUCCAAAUUUUAAGAACUGGGUGAUAAAUAUCUAAAAAUUUCUAACUAAGAAGUGCCUUAUGCUUGUUGUUUUGCAGAUUAGAGAAAGCAAAGGAAUAAAGAAGGGCCGAUCAUGAACACUUUUCUGCUGCAGAGGCAAUGACUUUCUUGCACAGUAGCAGUUUAUCAUUUUUUUUUUUCUGAUCUAAAUCUUUCUCUCUCUCCCCUACACCUUACAAAAGGAGAUGAUGGCUUUAGCUUUAGAAGGAUUCCUUGGAUAGGAAAGGGAGGCCUACCAUCACGGGAGAUGCAAGAAGGGAAUAAGAGUUUCUUCGGUAAGAUAGAAAAGAAACCAACAAUGCAUGGUCUCUGGUUGUCGUGUGGUUCUCAGGUACAUGUGUAAGGUGGAAUCAGUAAACAAGAGCAUGAAUACUCACGAGCUGCUUGCAAAAAGAAAGGUACAAUGUGGCACCAGAAUGCUACCUCUAUUUAGCAUUGACUGGGACUGUUCUCUUCGGUGUAUGCAGAGCUAUGAUUGUUCUAGACUGCUGAAGUGCUGUCGAGUUACAGAAAAGAGAAAAU